Long non-coding RNA from Perca fluviatilis (European perch), 617 nucleotides. RefSeq lists it as uncharacterized. The transcript has 2 exons. The record is from RefSeq and is a predicted model, not a curated record. Lineage: Eukaryota; Metazoa; Chordata; Actinopteri; Perciformes; Percidae.
CGAAUUAGCUGGCUAAAGGCUAGCGUGGAACCUAGGGGGGACACGUACCCCCAUUUGAGAAACACUGGUCUAGAAUAUCUUUCCGAGUGUGUUUUGUGUAAAUCAUUCCCAUGUUUAGAGAUUAUAUGAGUUUGUAGAUGUUGGAAAUGUCUAUUUUUCUAAAUACUGUUAAAGGGAGAGACUCUAGAGGCAAAAACAUGUUGUUUAAUGUAUAGAUUAUAGAUUUUGGACUAUUUAUCGUCCAUAAAAUGUGUUCUUUCAGACGAGUGGACAGAACAUUUAUUUUUCUACACGUAAAAGUUAAGUAGUAAGUUAAAAGUUAGCAUUAGCUAAUGCCUCAUUUAGCAUAUUUAACCCUCCUCCUGUUGUCAUUGUGUUUUCAAAAAGUUUCUGUAUCACAAAAUUUGGGUUUUCUUUCAAACAAAUUGUCACCGUGUGGACGGUAACGUUUGGUAAAGGUUAGGUAAAGGUUAGGUAAAGGUUAGGUAAAGGUUUGGUAAAGGUUAGGUAAAGGUUAGGUAAAGGUUUCUGUGUUAGAUGUUGACUGUUGACCUCCUCCUGUAAUGUUGUCAUUCAUUCCUCUGUUUACAAUAAAAUACACAACCAAACAUGUCUAA